UUGAUAUUGCAAGUAUCCUUGAUUAAGUGUCCUAACAAAGCUUGGGAAAUCAAGGAAUCAAGUGGCACCUAGUAUCGGAUUACUAUGUUAAUAAUCGGGACCUAAAUCGGGAGAUCGGGUAGAAUGAGGCUCGAAAAUAUGACUAAAAAAGCUCAAGUAUGAGGCCUCCAACAAAGAGUGGUAGCCUCAAUUCAGAGCUAAAGU
Molecule: long non-coding RNA, 204 nt
Filed under: Helianthus annuus (common sunflower)
Lineage: Eukaryota; Viridiplantae; Streptophyta; Magnoliopsida; Asterales; Asteraceae
Description: sRNA HanXRQr2_Chr16g0742981
Source: RNAcentral